RNAcentral lists this ribosomal RNA (433 nucleotides) under uncultured bacterium. RNAcentral describes it as "partial 16S ribosomal RNA". It matches the Rfam family "Bacterial small subunit ribosomal RNA", at positions 29 to 507 of the family's 1533-position model. The record is from RNAcentral.
AACGAACGCUGGCGGCAGGCCUAACACAUGCCAGUCGAGCGCGCCCUUCGGGGUGAGCGGCGGACGGGUGAGUAACGCGUGGGAACGUGCCCUUUUCUACGGAAUAGCCUCGGGAAACUGAGAUUAAUACCGCAUACGCCCUUUGGGGGAAAGAUUUUUCGGAAAAGGAUCGGCCCGCGUUGGAUUAGGUAGUUGGUGGGGUAAUGGCCUACCAAGCCGACGAUCCAUAGCUGGUUUGAGAGGAUGCUCAGCCAGACUGGGACUGCGACACGGCCCAGACCCCUACGGGAGGCAGGAGUGGAGAAUCUUAGGGAAUGGGGGCAACCCUGAUCUAGCCAUGCCGCGUGAGUGAUGAAGGCCUUAGGGAUGUAAAGCUCUUUGAGCUGAGAAGAUAAUGACGGUACCGGCAGAAGAAGCCCCGGCUAACUCCGUG